RNAcentral lists this long non-coding RNA (219 nucleotides) under Elaeis guineensis (African oil palm). Its description in RNAcentral is "long non-coding RNA (EGUI_LNC041021)". Lineage: Eukaryota; Viridiplantae; Streptophyta; Magnoliopsida; Arecales; Arecaceae. The record is from RNAcentral.
GGCAGUAGCCGUCACCAUAAAUCUUAUAUUCUAAUUAUUUAUUUUUUUCAUAGAAAAUAUAUAGGACAUAAUGUUAUACUCAUUAACAACACAAUUAGUCAUCGUCGCUAAUAAUUGCCCAAAAAUUCUUCCUCCCACUUCCCGAUCGAUCACUUUUCACCGCAUCCCCCCUUCUUCCCCUGUCGUGCUGAUUCCCCCGCCGUGCCAUCAGAACCCCCA